Non-coding RNA from Camellia sinensis, 1757 nucleotides. The record is from RefSeq and is a predicted model, not a curated record. NCBI's taxonomy places the organism in Eukaryota, Viridiplantae, Streptophyta, Magnoliopsida, Ericales, Theaceae.
CAACACACAAAAUCCACAUUUCUCUUCUCAGCCAGUGAACGAUCUCUUCUGGUGAGUUUGAAUCUCUGCUUCUGCUAUUUUUUCAAUGUUUGAUCUUCACAAACUUUUCUUGAUUCCCUGUUUACUGGUUAAGCAAAAGGAUUAUAUGCGGAUAAUGGGCCGUGGUUUCCUCUGAAAUUUGUUUUUUCAUCUUUGUUCUUCAGCCUAUGGAGAAUAGGUGGGUUACGAUUGUUCAAGUGCUCCAAUCAAAACUUGAGGGCCGGUGAGUGGCAGUUACUAUUACAGUUCACACAGACCAUGAUUCAUUUGUUCCGCACUGCCAACGUAAGAUGUUCGGCUGAUAUAUGUUCAUCAACAACUAGUAUAUUGCAUUUUCUUCAAAACAACCCUUUACCAUCAUCAUCUUUGCCUUUCAGAUCAACCUCAACUUCUUUAAAUCAACACUCAUUUACUGUCUCUUACCUCAUAAACUCAUGUGGGUUCACUCCAGAAUGAGCUCAAUCAGCUUCUAAGUUUGUCAAAUUUAAAUCCCCAGAUAGACCAGACUCAGUCCUCACCUUCUUGAAGAACCAUGGAUUCUCCCAAAUCCAAAUCUCAAAUGUCGCCAGAAAAGUUCCUGCUAUUCUUUCGUGCGAUCCCAAGAAAACCCUUUUACCCAAAUUUGAGUUUUGGUACUCCACAGGCAUUUCAAAAGCUGACCUUGCAAAAGCAAUAACUACUGGCCCAGUUGUUUUGAAAGGAAGCCUAAAGAACCGGAUUAUCCCAUCUUUCAAUUUCUUUAAAGCUUUGCUACACUCGAAUACUAAAUUCAUCUCAGCCUUUAAAUGAUUCCCGCAAAUAUUUGUUCAAGAUCAAAAAGCUGUUACAAUCCCCAACAUCAAAAUUAUGAGACAACAUGGCGUGCCAGAGUCAAAAGUCGUGUUUUUACUUACUACUCAGCCUAGAUCAUUUAUAAUGAAGCCUGACGAAUUUAAAAAGAUAAUGUACGAAGUGAAGGAAAUGGGUUUUGACCCUUCAAGAAAACAUUUUGUGCUUGCGGUUCACGCAUUGACGUCAAUGAGCAAAUCAACAUGGCAAAGGAAGGUAGAGGUUUAUGGGAAGUGGGGUUGGUCUGAGGAACAAACAAUUCUAGCUUUUGGAAAAAAUCCAUGGUGUAUGAUGGCAUCUGAGGAGAAGAUAAUGGCAGUAAUGAAUUUUUAUGUCAACACAAUGGGUUGGGAAUCUUCACGAAUUGCCAGACGUCCAAAAUGGAUUUCACUAAGCUUGGAGAAGAGAAUUAUCCCGAGGUGUUCUGUUGUUCAAGUUUUGUUGUCAAAAGGUUUGAUUGACAAGAAACGCCUUAGUUUAGCAACAUUGUUGGAGUCUACUGAAAGUUUGUUUCUUGAGAAGUUUGUGAUCCAGUACAAUGAACAAGCACCCCAACUCUUGAAGCUAUAUCAGGAAAAGUUCAGUCUCCAAAAGACAUAGAGGAAUGGGUGUGAAAUUAAGACCAAAUAAUCACAGAAUGUCCAGUGCUCGAAUCUAUAUAAGUUGACAUCUGUUGCAUAUCUUGUUAUUACUGAAACAUUUGGUUGCAUAUUUGACUGAUUUUACUCUCGACAAUGUUACUGUUGCUAUUACUUGAACCUUUCAUGCUAUUGUGAUUGUAAACCGUGAGUGCAUAAGAUUCAUAAGUUUAACAUGACCAAAUGCUAGCAUUUUUUGAUUAUGAAUAUGUCAAAACAUCCAAAAUUUUGCUGCAUUUCAUUUUCUUAACC